Molecule: small nuclear RNA, 107 nt
Organism: Cricetulus griseus (Chinese hamster)
Lineage: Eukaryota; Metazoa; Chordata; Mammalia; Rodentia; Cricetidae
Source: Ensembl
AUGCUCAUUUCGGCAGCACAUAUACUAAAAUUGGAACCAUACAGAGAAGAUUAGCAUGGCCCCUGCACAAGGAUGACACGCAAAUUCGUGAAGUGUUCCAUAUUUUA